Molecule: ribosomal RNA, 442 nt
Filed under: uncultured bacterium
Lineage: Bacteria
Description: partial 16S ribosomal RNA
Rfam family: Bacterial small subunit ribosomal RNA
Source: RNAcentral
CCUACGGGGGGCUGCAGUAGGGAAUCUUUCACAAUGGGCGAAAGCCUGAUGGAGCAACGCCGCGUGCAGGAUGAAGGCCUUCGGGUUGUAAACUGCUUUUAUAAGCGAGAAAUGUGAGGGUAACUUAUGAAUAAGGAUCGGCUAACUACGUGCCAGCAGCCGCGGUCAUACGUAGGAUCCGAGCAUUAUCCGGGGUGACUGGGUGUAAAGAGUUUCGUAGGUGGCAUAAUAAGUAGCUAGUGAAAUCUGGUGGCUCAACCAUUCAGACUAUUAGCUAAACUCGUAAGCUCGAGACCGUUAGGGGUAACUGGAAUUUCUAGUGUAGGAGUGAAAUGCGUAGAUAUUAGAAGGAACACCAAUGGCGUAGGCAGGUUGCUGGGACGGUUCUGACACUAAGGCACGAAAGCGUAGGGAGCAAACGGGAUUAGAUACCCUUGUAGUC